RNAcentral lists this ribosomal RNA (317 nucleotides) under uncultured bacterium. RNAcentral's name for it is "bacterial SSU rRNA". It matches the Rfam family "Bacterial small subunit ribosomal RNA", at positions 29 to 367 of the family's 1533-position model. The record is from RNAcentral.
AACGAACGCUGGCGGCAGGCCUAACACAUGCAAGUCGAACGAGAUCUUCGGAUCUAGUGGCGGACGGGUGAGUAACGCGUGGGAACGUGCCCUUCUCUACGGAAUAGGUCCCGGGAAACUGGGUUUAAUACCGUAUACGCCCUUCGGGGGAAAGAAUUUCGGGGAAGGAAUACGGCCCGUCGUUGGACUUAGGUAGUUGGUGGGGUAAUGGCCUACCAAGCCGACGAUCCAUAGCUAGGUUUGAGAGGAUGAUCAGCCACACUGGGACUGAGACACGGCCCAGACUCCUACGGGAGGCGAGCAGUGGGGAAUUUAGA